UUAAGUUCAGCGGGUAUCCCUACCUGAUCCGAGGUCAAACCUUGCUACAGAGGGUUUUACGGCAGGCGCUGCCGAGCCCCUAGAGCGUGCGUGAAAUACUGCGCUCAGGGCCUACGGCGGCUCCGCCACUGCGAUUCGGGGCCUGCGGCGUACCGGGGAGCCCCAACAACAAGCUACGCUUGAGGUUUGAAAUGACGCUC
This 200-nucleotide unclassified non-coding RNA is filed under the name Sordariales sp. RNAcentral describes it as "partial internal transcribed spacer 2". Lineage: Eukaryota; Fungi; Ascomycota; Sordariomycetes; Sordariales. The record is from RNAcentral.